UCCAGCGUGGCACAGUGGUUUGAGUGUUGGACUACAACUCGAGACCAGGGUUCGAAUCCCCGCUCCGCCC
RNAcentral lists this transfer RNA (70 nucleotides) under Phrynosoma platyrhinos (Desert horned lizard). Its description in RNAcentral is "tRNA-OTHER". Lineage: Eukaryota; Metazoa; Chordata; Lepidosauria; Squamata; Phrynosomatidae. The record is from RNAcentral.